Molecule: ribosomal RNA, 894 nt
Filed under: Staphylococcus aureus
Lineage: Bacteria; Bacillati; Bacillota; Bacilli; Caryophanales; Staphylococcaceae
Also listed under: 2 other names
Description: bacterial SSU rRNA
Rfam family: Bacterial small subunit ribosomal RNA
Source: RNAcentral
AGAGUUUGAUCCUGGCUCAGGAUGAACGCUGGCGGCGUGCCUAAUACAUGCAAGUCGAGCGAACGGACGAGAAGCUUGCUUCUCUGAUGUUAGCGGCGGACGGGUGAGUAACACGUGGAUAACCUACCUAUAAGACUGGGAUAACUUCGGGAAACCGGAGCUAAUACCGGAUAAUAUUUUGAACCGCAUGGUUCAAAAGUGAAAGACGGUCUUGCUGUCACUUAUAGAUGGAUCCGCGCUGCAUUAGCUAGUUGGUAAGGUAACGGCUUACCAAGGCAACGAUGCAUAGCCGACCUGAGAGGGUGAUCGGCCACACUGGAACUGAGACACGGUCCAGACUCCUACGGGAGGCAGCAGUAGGGAAUCUUCCGCAAUGGGCGAAAGCCUGACGGAGCAACGCCGCGUGAGUGAUGAAGGUCUUCGGAUCGUAAAACUCUGUUAUUAGGGAAGAACAUAUGUGUAAGUAACUGUGCACAUCUUGACGGUACCUAAUCAGAAAGCCACGGCUAACUACGUGCCAGCAGCCGCGGUAAUACGUAGGUGGCAAGCGUUAUCCGGAAUUAUUGGGCGUAAAGCGCGCGUAGGCGGUUUUUUAAGUCUGAUGUGAAAGCCCACGGCUCAACCGUGGAGGGUCAUUGGAAACUGGAAAACUUGAGUGCAGAAGAGGAAAGUGGAAUUCCAUGUGUAGCGGUGAAAUGCGCAGAGAUAUGGAGGAACACCAGUGGCGAAGGCGACUUUCUGGUCUGUAACUGACGCUGAUGUGCGAAAGCGUGGGGAUCAAACAGGAUUAGAUACCCUGGUAGUCCACGCCGUAAACGAUGAGUGCUAAGUGUUAGGGGGUUUCCGCCCCUUAGUGCUGCAGCUAACGCAUUAAGCACUCCGCCUGGGGAGUAC